This 208-nucleotide ribosomal RNA is filed under the name uncultured bacterium. Its description in RNAcentral is "partial 16S ribosomal RNA". It matches the Rfam family "Bacterial small subunit ribosomal RNA", at positions 1285 to 1500 of the family's 1533-position model. The record is from RNAcentral.
UUCUCAGUUCGGAUCGGAGUCUGCAACCCGACUCCGUGAAGCUGGAUUCGCUAGUAAUCGCGCAUCAGCCAUGGCGCGGUGAAUACGUUCCCGGGCCUUGUACACACCGCCCGUCAAGCCAUGGGAGCCGGGGGUGCUUGAAGUGCGUCGCCGCGAGGCGCGCCCUAGAGCAAAACCGGUGACUGGGGCUAAGUCGUAACAAGGUAUC